This 512-nucleotide ribosomal RNA is filed under the name uncultured bacterium. RNAcentral describes it as "bacterial SSU rRNA". It matches the Rfam family "Bacterial small subunit ribosomal RNA", at positions 8 to 518 of the family's 1533-position model. The record is from RNAcentral.
AGAGUUGAUCCUGGCUUAGGACGAAUGCUGGCGGCGUGCCUAACACAUGCAAGUCGAACGAAGCACUUUCUGUCUGAGAUUCGUCAAGGACAGAAUUGACUUAGUGGCGGACGGGUGAGUAAUGCGUGAGCAACCUGCCCUUCAGAGGGGGACAACAGUUGGAAACGACUGCUAAUACCGCAUGAUGUAUCCGGGAGGCAUCUUCUGGAUACCAAAGAUUUAUCGCUGAAGGAUGGGCUCACGUCUGAUUAGCUAGUUGGUGGGGUAACGGCCUACCAAGGCUGCGAUCAGUAGCCGGACUGAGAGGUUGAACGGCCACAUUGGGACUGAGAUACGGCCCAGACUCCUACGGGAGGCAGCAGUGGGGAAUAUUGGGCAAUGGGCGCAAGCCCUGACCCAGCAACGCCGCGUGAAGGAAGAAGGCCUUCGGGUUGUAAACUUCUUUUAUGAGGGACGAAGGACGUGACAGUACCUCAUGAAUAAGCCACGGCUAACUACGUGCCAGCCGCGGC